UGGGGAAUUUUGGACAAUGGGCGAAAGCCUGAUCCAGCAAUGCCGCGUGUGUGAAGAAGGCCUUCGGGUUGUAAAGCACUUUUGUCCGGAAAGAAAUCCUUGGCUCUAAUACAGUCGGGGGGAUGACGGUACCGGAAGAAUAAGCACCGGCUAACUACGUGCCAGCAGCCGCGGUAAUACGUAGGGUGCAAGCGUUAAUCGGAAUUACUGGGCGUAAGCGUGCGCAGGCGGUUUGCUAAGACCGAUGUGAAAUCCCCGGGCUCAACCUGGGGAACUGCAUUGGUGACUGGCAGGCUAGAGUAUGGCAGAGGGGGGUAGAAUUCCACGUGUAGCAGUGAAAUGCGUAGAGAUGUGGAGGAAUACCGAUGGCGAAGGCAGCCCCCUGGGCCAAUACUGACGCUCAUGCACGAAAGCGUGGGGAGCAAACAGGAUUNGAUACCCUGGUAGUCCACGCCCUAAACGAUGUCAACUAGUU
This 475-nucleotide ribosomal RNA is filed under the name uncultured bacterium. RNAcentral's name for it is "partial 16S ribosomal RNA". It matches the Rfam family "Bacterial small subunit ribosomal RNA", at positions 355 to 821 of the family's 1533-position model. The record is from RNAcentral.